AAUAAAGCAUUAUAAAUAUUGUGCCAACCUUUAAAAGAAGGAAGUGCUAGAAUGUUUACACCUUUGUGAACAUGAUAAAUUCUGUAUUAGAACUCAUAGCUCAUACUCAUAAAUUUAUUACCUAGAUCAUAUUUCAUAUGUGUAUUCAAGUUAAAAAAUUCUGUAAAGUUCUGUUUACAAAUGUCAAUUAAUAAUUAUUUCUUCUUGAAAUAUUGUUGAUAUAUGACUUCUAAUGACUAUCAUGUUGUUGUCAUUCAUUGUAAAUGAAUAAAUAUGUUUAUUAUACUUUGUGUGUGUCAUGCUACAUGUACUAUUGAAAAAAAAACCCUGAUAUUAAGUCAACAAUCAUUCUGUUGGUAGAGUGGGGUGAUCAUUUUCGCCAUAUCUUUCCAUGUUUUAUUCAGUUUAUGUUUAGGUCUUUAUGUUUUUGAAGUAUACAGAUAUUUCUAUAUGAAGAUAACUUCAAAUGCAAAAUAUUCUGAGCUUAAAAACGUGUUUGUUUUGAGUAAAAUCAUCUG
This 518-nucleotide long non-coding RNA is filed under the name Mytilus galloprovincialis (Mediterranean mussel). The record is from RNAcentral. Lineage: Eukaryota; Metazoa; Mollusca; Bivalvia; Mytilida; Mytilidae.